This 255-nucleotide ribosomal RNA is filed under the name uncultured bacterium. RNAcentral describes it as "partial 16S ribosomal RNA". It matches the Rfam family "Bacterial small subunit ribosomal RNA", at positions 524 to 776 of the family's 1533-position model. The record is from RNAcentral.
UACGUAGGCAGCGAGCGUUGUUCGGAGUUACUGGGCGUAAAGGGUGUGUAGGCGGUUGUUUAAGUUUGGUGUGAAAUCUCCCGGCUCAACUGGGAGGGUGCGCCGAAUACUGAAUGACUUCGAGUGCGGGAGAGGAAAGUGGAAUUCCUGGUGUAGCGGUGAAAUGCGUAGAUAUCCGGAGGAACACCGGUGGCGAAGGCGGCUUCCUGGACCGAUUACUGACGCUGAGGCGCGAAAGCUAGGGGAGCAAACGGG